Molecule: non-coding RNA, 23 nt
Filed under: Arabidopsis thaliana (thale cress)
Lineage: Eukaryota; Viridiplantae; Streptophyta; Magnoliopsida; Brassicales; Brassicaceae
Source: RNAcentral
UUGGGGUAAAAGUGCAUUCGGGU